ACAGACAUAGCUCAGAGGUAGAGCAUAUGCUUGGCAUGCACGAGGUCCUGGGUUCAAUCCCCAGUACCUCCA
RNAcentral lists this transfer RNA (72 nucleotides) under Camelus ferus (Wild Bactrian camel). It matches the Rfam family "tRNA". Rfam says of the family: Transfer RNA (tRNA) molecules are approximately 80 nucleotides in length. Their secondary structure includes four short double-helical elements and three loops (D, anti-codon, and T loops). Further hydrogen bonds mediate the characteristic L-shaped molecular structure. tRNAs have two regions of fundamental functional importance: the anti-codon, which is responsible for specific mRNA codon recognition, and the 3' end, to which the tRNAs corresponding amino acid is attached (by aminoacyl-tRNA synthetases). tRNAs cope with the degeneracy of the genetic code in two manners: having more than one tRNA (with a specific anti-codon) for a particular amino acid; and 'wobble' base-pairing, i.e. permitting non-standard base-pairing at the 3rd anti-codon position. Lineage: Eukaryota; Metazoa; Chordata; Mammalia; Artiodactyla; Camelidae. The record is from Rfam by way of RNAcentral.